AGAAGUCCAGGGGACCGCCUAGUCAUGCUUGAGAGCAAUACCUCAGAAAGAUUCUAGCUCAGACAUGGCUGGGACUUGCCAGUCUGCGGUGGCUGUGACCCAUCUAGCCU
This 110-nucleotide microRNA precursor is filed under the name Cricetulus griseus (Chinese hamster). Its description in RNAcentral is "mir-692". The record is from RNAcentral. Lineage: Eukaryota; Metazoa; Chordata; Mammalia; Rodentia; Cricetidae.